GGUUUUAACCCAGUUACCAAG
RNAcentral lists this unclassified non-coding RNA (21 nucleotides) under Caenorhabditis elegans. RNAcentral describes it as "trans-spliced leader sequence SL-5". Lineage: Eukaryota; Metazoa; Nematoda; Chromadorea; Rhabditida; Rhabditidae. The record is from RNAcentral.